This is a long non-coding RNA of Mastomys coucha (southern multimammate mouse), 317 nucleotides long. RefSeq lists it as uncharacterized. The record is from RefSeq and is a predicted model, not a curated record. Lineage: Eukaryota; Metazoa; Chordata; Mammalia; Rodentia; Muridae. The transcript is spliced from 2 exons.
AAGAUCGGCGCUUGUGCUUCAGGAGUUUCGAGGGCGUGCACGUCUGUUUUAACGCGUCAGGAUGUUCGGGUUCUUGUGCUGCUGGUUACCUAAGUGGUUCGAAUAGUGCUGUGUUGCUUGUAAAGUGAUUUUGGGGCCGUUUUUCCGGUUUAGGCUAUUGAGAUAUAACAAGUAUUCCUGGCUAGUCCUCAACUCGCUGAGGAGAGAGGACUUGAAGAGGGGAGGAUGACACUGUGGAUCAAGUUUCAGAAAAGCCUGUUUAUUCAAAGAUAAAGUGAACUACAGAAAAAAUAAAGUAGAAAUGAAAGUAAAAGUGA